Molecule: ribosomal RNA, 216 nt
Filed under: uncultured bacterium
Lineage: Bacteria
Description: partial 16S ribosomal RNA
Rfam family: Bacterial small subunit ribosomal RNA
Source: RNAcentral
GGGAACCUGCCUCAAAGAGGGGGACAACAGUUGGAAACGACUGCUAAUACCGCAUAAGCCCACGGCUCGGCAUCGAGCAGAGGGAAAAGGAGCAAUCCGCUUUGAGAUGGCCUCGCGUCCGAUUAGCUAGUUGGUGAGGUAACGGCCCACCAAGGCGACGAUCGGUAGCCGGACUGAGAGGUUGAACGGCCACAUUGGGACUGAGACACGGCCCAG